AUGGGAUCAGCACUCUCCUCCCCCGCGCCAAUGGGUGCUGCAGAACGGCCCACGCCCACUGCCGUUCGCCCGGGGCUCCCCUGGCAGGCUUCUUGGUCUUUGUGGGGGCUGCAGCACCUCCACUUCACCGUGAUGUGGAGUCCUUCGCCCCCAGGUGACCCACGCUCCACAGCCCCGGCCAGAACUUGGGGUGGGGGGCGGGGGGUGUUUGAUGGGGAGGGGGCACAGUCCUUUCGGGCCAACUUCCACAUUCCUGCUCCGCCCAGGCCGGGGGUGAGUCGGGGUGAGCAGCCGGCUCCAAGCUGGCCGGCUUCCUGGAAAGGGAGGGCCAGCGGGAGAACUGCAAAUCCUCCCAGCCCUGGUGGCUGCCCGCCUCCUCCCUACCCAUUCCUCCCCACCCCACUUCCACCCCUACUCCCCAGCAAGCUGGCAGCCCCGCCCCUGCCAGGCGGCUCACCUGCCCGCGACCAGGGCACUUCCUCCUCCUUCCCCGCCCAGCCUCCCGCUACAAGCCAUGGGUUUGCAGCCGGGUCAGCAGCUACAGGCUGUGUGACCUCAGGCAAGUUGCUAAACUUCUCUGUGCCCAUUAUCUCCCCCUGCGAGAUGGAGCUAGCAACAAUCGGGGUGCAGAGCUUUCCGCGAACACCGCUGCACUUCCCUCUUCCCUGCUCCACCACCUUCCCCUUCCGCUCGGUUUGGCAGGGGCACAGGGGAUGCACAGAAAAGGCGCCCGACUGUAAAUUGCCGCAGGGGAAGGCCGUGUUGCGUCCCUCGCCGGGGCACUGCCCUCCGUUGCAGCCUGAGACUUGGGUUAGACCCGCGGCUUUCCCGUUGGAGGUGCGGGUGGUGCUGAGCUGCUGGACUGGCGCUGCCCGCCGGGGGUCGGCGCGCAGGCACUCAGAUGGCUCCCACCUCAGCCUGGGCCUCGCAGCUGGCGGUGGGGCGGGGCGCAGGCGCUGGGUAGGGGAAGGCUUGGGUCCGGCCACCCAGUGGGGGUCAGCCCCAGCGCCGGUUUCCACGGGGCCGCGCCGGAGGGGCGGAAUCUGGGUUUCGGUUUCUUGCAAACGCGGCGGCAACAGGGAAAUAGAGGAGUUUCCGGGAACUGAACUGCGCUGGGAGCGCUAA
RNAcentral lists this long non-coding RNA (1125 nucleotides) under Papio anubis (olive baboon). RNAcentral describes it as "lncRNA (ENSPANG00000036924.1)". Lineage: Eukaryota; Metazoa; Chordata; Mammalia; Primates; Cercopithecidae. The record is from RNAcentral.